Molecule: ribosomal RNA, 537 nt
Filed under: Salmonella enterica
Lineage: Bacteria; Pseudomonadati; Pseudomonadota; Gammaproteobacteria; Enterobacterales; Enterobacteriaceae
Also listed under: 2 other names
Description: partial 23S ribosomal RNA
Rfam family: Bacterial large subunit ribosomal RNA
Source: RNAcentral
AGACCCGAAACCCGGUGAUCUAGCCAUGGGCAGGUUGAAGGUUGGGUAACACUAACUGGAGGACCGAACCGACUAAUGUUGAAAAAUUAGCGGAUGACCUGUGGCUGGGGGUGAAAGGCCAAUCAAACCGGGAGAUAGCUGGUUCUCCCCGAAAGCUAUUUAGGUAGCGCCUCGUGAAUUCAUCUCCGGGGGUAGAGCACUGUUUCGGCUAGGGGGCCAUCCCGGCUUACCAACCCGAUGCAAACUGCGAAUACCGGAGAAUGUUAUCACGGGAGACACACGGCGGGUGCUAACGUCCGUCGUGAAGAGGGAAACAACCCAGACCGCCAGCUAAGGUCCCAAAGUCAUGGUUAAGUGGGAAACGAUGUGGGAAGGCCCAGACAGCCAGGAUGUUGGCUUAGAAGCAGCCAUCAUUUAAAGAAAGCGUAAUAGCUCACUGGUCGAGUCGGCCUGCGCGGAAGAUGUAACGGGGCUAAACCAUGCACCGAAGCUGCGGCAGCGAACGUAUCACCCAAGACAACUUUACGGAGUUGACGA